UUGGGGACUAGAAGAAUCUGACUGUUUAAUUAAAACAGAGCAUUGCGAGGGUCUUAAAAGAUGUUGACGCAAUGUGAAUUCUGCCCAGUGCUCUGAACGUUAAAGUGGAGAAAUUCAGUGAAGCGCGGGUAAACGGCGGGAGUAACUAUGACUCUCUUAAGGUAGCCAAAUGCCUCGUCAUCUAAUUAGUGACGCGCAUGAAUCGAUUAACGAGAUUCUUACUGUCCCUACUUGCUACUGGGUGAACCCACAGCCAAGGGAACGGGCUUGGGAAACGGAAUGGCGGGGCAAGAAGACCCUGUUGAGCUUGACUCUAGUCUGACAUUGUGGAAUGACUUGAGAGGUGUAGAAUAGGUGGGAGGCUUGCCGACCGUGAAAUACCACCACUCUUGAUGUCGUUUUACUUAUAUGGUUAAAUUGAGGAGUAACGUUUUACGUUUGCUUUUUUCGGAAUUAAACGCAGUGUUUUUAUGCAGUGUGAUCAAUGUUAUAGACAUUGUCUGGUGGGGAGUUUGGCUGGGGCGGCACAUCUGUUAAAAGAUAACACAGGUGUCCUAAGGUGAGCUCAAUGAGAACAGAAAUCUCCUGUAGAGUAUAAGGGCAAAAGCUCACUUGACUCGGACUUUCAGUAUGAGUACGAGCCUUGAAAAAGAGGCCUAACGAUCCUUUAUAUUCGUUAAAGAUUCACGCUAGAGGUGUCAGAAAAGUUACCACAGGGAUAACUGGCUCGUGGCAGCCAAGCGUUCAUAGCGACGUUGCUCUUUGAUUCUUCGAUGUCGGCUCUUCCUAUCCUUACCUUGCAUCCGGGGUAAAUGGUAAGAUUGUUCACCUACUAACAGGGAACGUGAGCUGGGUUAGACCGUCGCGAGACAGGUUAGUUUUAUCCUACCAUUUCGGUCAGUUGUUUGACAGUAAUUCAACCAAGUACGAGAGGAACCGUUGAUUCACGUGGCCGGUAUUUUCAAUUGCUCGAAAGGGCAUUGUUGAGAAGCUGAAAUGUGACCGGAUAACGGCUGAACGCCUCUUAAGCCGGAACCCACGCUGAAUGACAACUAUCGUUGCUUCUUGAAGCUUGU
RNAcentral lists this ribosomal RNA (1076 nucleotides) under metagenome. RNAcentral describes it as "eukaryotic LSU rRNA". It matches the Rfam family "Eukaryotic large subunit ribosomal RNA", at positions 2117 to 3183 of the family's 3401-position model. The record is from RNAcentral.